UACGUAGGGUGCAAGCGUUGUCCGGAAUUAUUGGGCGUAAAGAGCUCGUAGGUGGCUUGUCACGUCGGGUGUGAAAUCCCGGGGCUUAACCCCGGGUCUGCAUUCGAUACGGGCUGGCUAGGGUCCUUCAGGGGAGACUGGAAUUCCUGGUGUAGCGGUGAAAUGCGCAGAUAUCAGGAGGAACACCGGUGGCGAAGGCGGAUCUCUGGGCCAUUACUGACGCUGAGGAGCGAAAGCGUGGGGAGCGAACAGG
RNAcentral lists this ribosomal RNA (253 nucleotides) under uncultured bacterium. RNAcentral describes it as "partial 16S ribosomal RNA". It matches the Rfam family "Bacterial small subunit ribosomal RNA", at positions 524 to 776 of the family's 1533-position model. The record is from RNAcentral.